This 305-nucleotide ribosomal RNA is filed under the name uncultured bacterium. Its description in RNAcentral is "partial 16S ribosomal RNA". It matches the Rfam family "Bacterial small subunit ribosomal RNA", at positions 508 to 807 of the family's 1533-position model. The record is from RNAcentral.
ACAGCAGCCGCCACGGUAAUACGGAGGGUGCAAGCGUUAUCCGGAUUUAUUGGGUUUAAAGGGUCCGUAGGCGGACUUAUAAGUCAGUGGUGAAAGCCUGUCGCUUAACGAUAGAACUGCCAUUGAUACUGUAAGUCUUGAGUAUAUUUGAGGUAGCUGGAAUAAGUAGUGUAGCGGUGAAAUGCAUAGAUAUUACUUAGAACACCAAUUGCGAAGGCAGGUUACCAAGAUAUAACUGACGCUGAGGGACGAAAGCGUGGGUAGCGAACAGGAUUAGAUACCCCCGUAGUCCCUGUCUCUUAUAC